This 439-nucleotide ribosomal RNA is filed under the name uncultured bacterium. Its description in RNAcentral is "partial 16S ribosomal RNA". It matches the Rfam family "Bacterial small subunit ribosomal RNA", at positions 339 to 795 of the family's 1533-position model. The record is from RNAcentral.
CUACGAGUGGCUCCAGUGGGGAAUAUUGCACAAUGGAGGGAACUCUGAUGCAGCAACGCCGCGUGGAGGAUGACACUUUUCGGAGCGUAAACUCCUUUUAUAUAGGAAGAAGAUGACGGUACUAUAUGAAUAAGCGCCGGCUAACUCCGUGCCAGCAGCCGCGGUAAUACGGAGGGCGCAAGCGUUACUCGGAAUCACUGGGCGUAAAGAGCGUGUAGGCGGAUUAAAAAGUCAGAAGUGAAAUCCUAUAGCUUAACUAUAGAACUGCUUCUGAAACUCUUAAUCUAGAAUAUGGGAGAGGUAGAUGGAAUUUCUGGUGUAGGGGUAAAAUCCGUAGAGAUCAGAAGGAAUACCGAUUGCGAAGGCGAUCUACUAGAACAUUAUUGACGCUGAGACGCGAAAGCGUGGGGAGCAAACAGGAUUAGAUACCCCUGUAGUC